UGGGGAAUUUUGGACAAUGGGCGAAAGCCUGAUCCAGCAAUGCCGCGUGUGUGAAGAAGGCCUUCGGGUUGUAAAGCACUUUUGUCCGGAAAGAAAUCCUUGGCUCUAAUACAGUCGGGGGAUGACGGUACCGGAAGAAUAAGCACCGGCUAACUACGUGCCAGCAGCCGCGGUAAUACGUAGGGUGCAAGCGUUAAUCGGAAUUACUGGCGUAAAGCGUGCGCAGGCGGUUUGCUAAGACCGAUGUGAAAUCCCCGGGCUCAACCUGGGAACUGCAUUGGUGACUGGCAGGCUAGAGUAUGGCAGAGGGGGGUAGAAUUCCACGUGUAGCAGUGAAAUGCGNUAGAGAUGUGGAGGAAUACCGAUGGCGAAGGCAGCCCCCUGGGCCAAUACUGACGNCUCAUGCACGAAAAGCCGUGGGGAGCAAAACAGGAUUAGACACCCUGGUAAGUCCACGCCCUAAACGAUGUCAACUAGUUGUUGGGGAUUCAUUUCCUUAGUAACGUAGCUAACGCGUGAAGUUGACCGCC
RNAcentral lists this ribosomal RNA (530 nucleotides) under uncultured bacterium. Its description in RNAcentral is "partial 16S ribosomal RNA". It matches the Rfam family "Bacterial small subunit ribosomal RNA", at positions 355 to 873 of the family's 1533-position model. The record is from RNAcentral.